This 387-nucleotide ribosomal RNA is filed under the name uncultured bacterium. RNAcentral's name for it is "bacterial SSU rRNA". It matches the Rfam family "Bacterial small subunit ribosomal RNA", at positions 28 to 416 of the family's 1533-position model. The record is from RNAcentral.
GACGAACGCUGGCGGCGUGCUUAACACAUGCAAGUCGAGCGGUAAGGCCCUUUCGGGGGUACACGAGCGGCGAACGGGUGAGUAACACGUGGGUGACCUGCCCUCAGCUCUGGGAUAAGCCUGGGAAACUGGGUCUAAUACUGGAUAUGACUCCACGGUGCAUGUCGUGGGGUGGAAAGCCUUGUGCGGCUGAGGAUGGGCCCGCGGCCUAUCAGCUUGUUGGUGGGGUGANGGCCUACCGAGGCGACGACGGGUAGCCGGCCUGAGAGGGCGACCGGCCACACUGGGACUGAGACACGGCCCAGACUCCUACGGGAGGCAGCAGUGGGGAAUCUUGCGCAAUGGGCGAAAGCCUGACGCAGCGACGCCGCGUGAGGGAUGACGGCC